CAACUUUAUACAAUCUCAAAAUACUCACAACCACGAACUUAAUUAAUUCAUAUCAUAGUCAUUGUCUCUAUUACAAAUCGUCCAACCAAAACAGAAUAAAUAAACAAGUAGGAUUAUAUAACAAAAUUUGAAUCUCUUUACAUGAAACAGAGAUGUAAAUAGUUUGUAACCACUAAAUACACAGUCGUUCAGCCAAUAUAACACCCAAACAAUCAUCUCCUAAUCACAAAGGCAAAAGCUAAAAUCAAAUUUCAUAUUUUAGUACAUUCAAAAUCAACUAACUUAUUGCUCAAAGUUAAGAAACGGAGCUAACAGUUUAUUUCAGAAACUAAAAAAAAUGCACAUUCUUAGUUUUAAAUAACAAUGACAGUAAAUCACAUGCACAAAAGUUUGAAACUGACCUCAAAUGUGGCAGAAAAAACAGAGUCGCAGCAGCAAGUGUUUUGAGUUUAAGUAAUGCACCACUUAAAAUGCCUGUAUUUUUGGACUGCAUGUGAGUGAAGAUAUAGAAAAUAAGAACAAA
This 523-nucleotide long non-coding RNA is filed under the name Citrus x clementina. RNAcentral describes it as "Citrus clementina (C. clementina) long non-coding RNA (CCLE_LNC002804)". The record is from RNAcentral. Lineage: Eukaryota; Viridiplantae; Streptophyta; Magnoliopsida; Sapindales; Rutaceae.